This 3289-nucleotide ribosomal RNA is filed under the name Triticum aestivum (bread wheat). RNAcentral describes it as "partial small subunit ribosomal RNA". Lineage: Eukaryota; Viridiplantae; Streptophyta; Magnoliopsida; Poales; Poaceae. The record is from RNAcentral.
GCCUUUCCUCCUCUCUCUAAUCUUGUCUCUACGCGGCCAGCACACGGCUCGAGGAGGCGGCAGCGGCGGUCGGCACACGGCUCGAGGAGGCGGCAGCGGCGGAGCGGUGGGUUCACCAGGAGCAUACUCCUAGCUCGGCACAAGGUCAGCUCCGCUCAUUUAUUCGUCGAGGUUUCAAACCUCGACGUUAAAUCUUAGCUCUUCGAGAAAAGCCUCGCCGUCAGGCGUUAGUUCGCCGAGGAAAGCCUCGCCGUCAGGCGUUAGUUCGUCGAGUAAAAACUCGACGUUGGGCGUUAGUUCGCCGUGGCAUUCUAGCUUCGUUAGUAGGCAGAGGCUUAAGCUGAUCUAGAGAAUAAAGGAUCUUAUUCUAGCUGAUGUAGAAAAAACCCAGAGGUUCAACGGUAGCCAGAAGGUCCGACUUGGGUCCCGGCCGGGACCCGGUACCGCCGCUCACGCUGCCGGAUCCCGGGUCGUGCUCGUCCCCGGGUAUGGGAUACGCACGUAUGUUAUGUGUCAUAUAAGUAUCUUUCUUUUUAACAUGCGUCCUGUUUGUCGGGUCGGGUACUUCUUCGCUCGUCGUUGCGUGCUUGCUUCGGUUGUUAGGGCAGGCGAGGGUCAGGGUCUUUGUGCGGCGGUCGGCGGUUGAGUAGCAGAGGGAGAGCAAGAGUAGGAGAAGGGGUUUAGGUUAACUAACGGGGCUCAAGGAUACUCCGGUCUUGGGGUUGAGGGGUUCGAUUAGUUACUUAACAGGUAAUCAUAGUGUGAAGUCACAUAAAGAAACGUAGGAUGUUUAUGGGGUUCCCGGGGCCGCUUGCCUAGGUCUCUCCGCUCGGCCGGUCGCUGCUGUGUGGGACACGGGACCGUCCUUGUGCCUCUCAUCGUCGGCCGUCUACCGGUAGCUAUCAACCCCGACACCAGGCGGACAGGCCGUCACCUCUCGCCUCUGCACCUCAGGUCACACCUCGUCGCAACCUAAAGAAGAUAAACGAGGUUCUCUGGUUCUUGUCCUAAGCACUUCUGUUCUUAAGUCCACAAGAGAGAGGAAAAUUGACAAGGAAAAAGUUUUGAAUUUAGUGAUUUCUUGAUAAACUCUAGUUGGUACAGUCUCCUCUCUAACUUACCGAAACGGUACCACGAAAUAACUCUUUCUAUACAGCCUAUUGUAACUAGAACUGUGAUAAUAAUCACUAAAAGGUAGGUCUUUACGAGCUUCCACAGCAAAAAGAACUCAUACGGUAAGUGAAGUAAAAACACAUAAACAGUCCACCGAGUACUAUAAACGACUACGUGCAAACACCAACCUGACCAUCUCAACCUUAACAUCGAAGACAGCUUAACCUAGUUCUUAAACUCUUGUUAUAGUGUAUAUAUAAAUCAAUUCUUAAUUCUGUUGUGAAGAUCCAACAACCUCGCACAUAGGAUUAUUAGGAUAUUAGUAGACUAUAUAGGCACCUUGCCUCCCUCAUAUAUAGACGGGUCCUGCGGGGCCGUCAGUAGUCUAGAGCUUCGUCUUGGCGUUGGGUACUCGGUAGUCGACGUUCAAGAAGAGCCCGGAGCCGUCUGGAUGUGCCCUCGGUACCUCUUUCUGUCGCCUCUACUAUCUUAGUCGUGGAACGGGUCACUGUAACACCAGUUGUAAGAACUGGCUGAGCUAAAGGCACUUCAACGCUCUUGGUCGUAGGAGAGGUCUGCCACCACGGUCGAGAGAACGUUCCAGAGGGCUGAAUAGUAUUUACGAGUCGGACUACCGCACAGAUGGAGGUUGUAGAGACUACCACUGAACCAAGCCUAGUUACGUCGACGAGAACUUCGCUGUUUCUCGAAUGACCGGGCGUCUACAGGUCCGCUUCUGUGGUAGGCGGAGGACAGAUGGUGCAAGAUGAACUCUCCACUACAGGGGUAUAGGUAACCUGUAUGACAACCGUCACGGUACUGCUGUGUGUUCUAACUCUUUCGACUUAAGUGUCAAAACUGUCACUUCUUUGCGGCUGUCACGUGAGAACUACUACACAACUUGAUACCCUGUGUCAAACACAGUAAAAAAUUACUCACAGACUUACGUAAAUGACCAAACUGCGCGGAGAUGUACCUCUUAAACUCUAAACAACUUAGACUGAAACAGAGGUUGUAGAAGCAGUGAACGUUCGCUAAUUUUAUAAACCCAAAAAAGUUAACGCUGUGUGUCUUAGUAAAUUGUGAGGUCCAACUUGUGCGAGUUGAGUCACUCGAGUCAUACCAGUUGACGGCAAAAAUGUUUCAGUUUGAGUUCACCGAGGGUUUUGAGUGGGCCUGUUGCAAGUGUAUAACCUACCGAAAACUUCUUGAUGGUAACAGUAAACCAGUACACGGUGACGAACUGAAAAACUUGGAGUGAUUACAACCAGAAUCAGCCGUGUUUUACCAGCACAACUCAUGUAAUGAAACACUCUGUGUGUAGGUUCUUGACGUAAACCCCAAAUUUACGCUUUUCUAAACCCAAGUUGGUCUCACAGACUCGCUUUCCGACCGUAGACGCAAGGUGUCUGAUUCCUAACAGUCAGAUCAAUCGUAAGGACUUCCCAGACUAGAGUGGACCUGUUAAAAGUAAGACCUUCGACGCGGUAGUGAACUUCUCAACAUGUACAACCAUUAACUAGUAGGCACACUUUACUAUUACCUAUUCUUUUCCUCCUACCUUGAGAGCGAAUCGCUCUACUUCCCGCAGUUCACCCUUAGUGGAUCUAGUUUAAAGUUCGUGGCUGUGGAACGGUUCGAGUAGUAGAAAACGAAACAUUUAACGUACCACUCAGUACAGUCCGCACAGUACUUUCGUCGCCACUUAGACUUCCUACACAUGGACAUACUAUCUGACCGUACAUCGUUCACGUUUGUGUACCGGUAAAAAUUCGGACUAUCCGAAGGUGCCCGUUUCUUCUUCAACCUACGCUACUUCUUCGACAACUGGGUCCCGUAGCUCAGACGAGGGUCUUAAGUGAACGACUGGCUAACACUUUACCUCCGACUGGUACGACGUUCCCAAUGUCCGAUGAACACAAGGACUUCUAUCGACUUCCGAAAGUCCUUCAAGUACAUUAUUGUCAGCCAACCUCAUGAGAUAGUGAACAGACCGAGAACAAAAUAGAGGAAAAGAAAUGAGUUGGACAACCUUCAUCGUUUUAUUCUUAAUGAACUAGGACAAAAUGGUAUUCAUUAAAAUCCUGGACCAGACAUAAACCUAAAACUACGAUACUACACAAUAAUACCACUACUCACGUAGUCAACUAUGCCAAGGUACUCUAGACCUUCGACU